GAUCAUGGCUCAGGAUGAACGCUAGCGGCAGGCCUAAUACAUGCAAGUCGAACGGUAAACGCCCCUUCGGGGGUGUGAGAGUGGCGCACGGGUGCGUAACGCGUAUGCAACCCACCCGCUGUCGGGGGAUAGCCCGGAGAAAUUCGAAUUAAUACCCCAUGAGGAGCAGCUGUGGCAUCACAAUUGUUUCAAGACUUCGGUGACGGCGGACGGGCAUGCGUGCCAUUAGAUAGUUGGCGGGGUAACGGCCCACCAAGUCGACGAUGGCUAGGGGAUCUGAGAGGACGGUCCCCCACACUGGUACUGAGACACGGACCAGACUCCUACGGGAGGCAGCAGUAAGGGAUAUUGGUCAAUGGGGGGAACCCUGAACCAAGCCAUGCCGCGUGAGGGAGUAAGGCCCUACGGGUCGUAAACCUCUUUUGCCGGGGGAUAAGGACGGGGACGUGUCCCUGUUUGAAGGUACCCGGAGAAUAAGCAUCGGCUAACUCCGUGCCAGCCGCAGC
RNAcentral lists this ribosomal RNA (506 nucleotides) under uncultured bacterium. Its description in RNAcentral is "bacterial SSU rRNA". It matches the Rfam family "Bacterial small subunit ribosomal RNA", at positions 15 to 518 of the family's 1533-position model. The record is from RNAcentral.